This 968-nucleotide ribosomal RNA is filed under the name Salmonella enterica. RNAcentral describes it as "partial 23S ribosomal RNA". It matches the Rfam family "Bacterial large subunit ribosomal RNA", at positions 1285 to 2238 of the family's 2925-position model. The record is from RNAcentral. Lineage: Bacteria; Pseudomonadati; Pseudomonadota; Gammaproteobacteria; Enterobacterales; Enterobacteriaceae.
GAAGUGCGAAUGCUGACAUAAGUAACGAUAAAGCGGGUGAAAAGCCCGCUCGCCGGAAGACCAAGGGUUCCUGUCCAACGUUAAUCGGGGCAGGGUGAGUCGACCCCUAAGGCGAGGCCGAAAGGCGUAGUCGAUGGGAAACGGGUUAAUAUUCCCGUACUUGGUGUUACUGCGAAGGGGGGACGGAGAAGGCUAUGUUGGCCGGGCGACGGUUGUCCCGGUUUAAGCGUGUAGGCUGGUUUUCCAGGCAAAUCCGGAAAAUCAAGGCUGAGGCGUGACGACGAGGCACUACGGUGCUGAAGCAACAAAUGCCCUGCUUCCAGGAAAAGCCUCUAAGCAUCAGGUAACACGAAAUCGUACCCCAAACCGACACAGGUGGUCAGGUAGAGAAUACCAAGGCGCUUGAGAGAACUCGGGUGAAGGAACUAGGCAAAAUGGUGCCGUAACUUCGGGAGAAGGCACGCUGACACGUAGGUGAAGUGAUUUACUCAUGGAGCUGAAGUCAGUCGAAGAUACCAGCUGGCUGCAACUGUUUAUUAAAAACACAGCACUGUGCAAACACGAAAGUGGACGUAUACGGUGUGACGCCUGCCCGGUGCCGGAAGGUUAAUUGAUGGGGUCAGCGCAAGCGAAGCUCCUGAUCGAAGCCCCGGUAAACGGCGGCCGUAACUAUAACGGUCCUAAGGUAGCGAAAUUCCUUGUCGGGUAAGUUCCGACCUGCACGAAUGGCGUAAUGAUGGCCAGGCUGUCUCCACCCGAGACUCAGUGAAAUUGAACUCGCUGUGAAGAUGCAGUGUACCCGCGGCAAGACGGAAAGACCCCGUGAACCUUUACUAUAGCUUGACACUGAACAUUGAGCCUUGAUGUGUAGGAUAGGUGGGAGGCUUUGAAGCGUGGACGCCAGUCUGCGUGGAGCCGACCUUGAAAUACCACCCUUUAAUGUUUGAUGUUCUAACGUGGACCCGUUA